This 73-nucleotide transfer RNA is filed under the name Actinomycetota bacterium. Its description in RNAcentral is "tRNA-Gln". It matches the Rfam family "tRNA". Rfam says of the family: Transfer RNA (tRNA) molecules are approximately 80 nucleotides in length. Their secondary structure includes four short double-helical elements and three loops (D, anti-codon, and T loops). Lineage: Bacteria; Bacillati; Actinomycetota. The record is from RNAcentral.
UCCGGGGUAGUUCAAUCGGCAGAACGUCGGCCUUUGGAGCCGGAUGUUGGAGGUUCGAACCCUCCCCCCGGAA